This 90-nucleotide transfer RNA is filed under the name Gammaproteobacteria bacterium. RNAcentral describes it as "tRNA-Ser". It matches the Rfam family "tRNA". Rfam says of the family: Transfer RNA (tRNA) molecules are approximately 80 nucleotides in length. The record is from RNAcentral. RNAcentral also lists the same sequence under 3 other names. Lineage: Bacteria; Pseudomonadati; Pseudomonadota; Gammaproteobacteria.
GGAGAGGUGCCGGAGCGGUUGAACGGGACGGACUCGAAAUCCGUUGUACCUCUUGGGGUACCGUGGGUUCGAAUCCCACCCUCUCCGCCA